RNAcentral lists this long non-coding RNA (3637 nucleotides) under Dasypus novemcinctus (nine-banded armadillo). Its description in RNAcentral is "lncRNA (ENSDNOG00000052913.1)". Lineage: Eukaryota; Metazoa; Chordata; Mammalia; Cingulata; Dasypodidae. The record is from RNAcentral.
UCCUCUGUCGCUCAGGGUUUCUCAAAGUGUGGUUCAUGCACCACCUGCAUCAACAUCAGCUGAUGGUGUUUGGUAAAAAAAACACAGAUUCCUUGGCCCUACUUCAGACAGAUUGAAUCAGAGUCUCGGAGGGUUGCGGUAAAAAAAAAAAAAAAAAAUCUAUGUUUUAAAUAAGCUCUUCAGCUGAUCCUUAUGCAAGUUUGAGAACCCCUGCUGGAGAACAGCUGCAAUCUGCAAGUGGCCCCCUUUAAGCACUCCAUCUGUGUCCAGCUAAGCCAAAAACCAGAAUAUGAGAACCACCACCUUUUUGUGGUGAUGGAGCUGUCACCUGACCUCACACCUGUGUGCUGUGAGGUGCAAUGAAGGGAAGGGUGGAAGGUAAUGUAUGUAUCCACUGCCUCUUCACCAGGCAUCAUCCUUUCGGUGGUCCUGAUUGGUGGUCUUGGCAUCUGCAUUGUCCUGGCAGUGUCCUUCUGGCUUUUCAGAAAGAAGAAAAGUAGCAAAAAAGGUGACAACAACAAGGGAGUCAUUUAUAAACCAGCCAUCAAGAAGGAGACUGAGGCCUACGCCUGAGGUCCCCGGCACUCCAAGAAAAGACCUUGCUUUGGACACUACACGCUUUGCCUCUCUGGACACUUGGAACACCUGGGGAUAUUCUCUGGAGCUCCUUGACUGGGUCCCACCCUGGUGCCACGGUCAUCCCGAGUGUGGUCAGCGGCUGGGAAGCGUUCUCGGGUCAGGAGGCAGGACCACAGAUGCUCCGUCUGUGGGAGAUCAUUCGGCCUGGAUUCUGGGGCCUCAACCCCGCAGCCUGCCUGCGGCAGUUACUAACUGGAAAACACAUUCACCCAGGGGUUCACGCCAGUGCACUUUCAAAUGUCCUGGAAAUCCUGCUUAUUCUCCAACCUUUCAGACCAGAAUGUGCACUCUCUGCUUAGGUUUCACUUUUAAAACUCAGUUUCUUUUCUCAGGGGAGGGCUGUCCUUCGAUUUCCUUCCGCUCUGACAAAACCUUUAGUCUGACAUUAUAAGUGGGAGGAAGAAUUGAUACAGGAAGGGUCAAGUUGUCAGAGGCAAAAAGAAAACAAGAGAUACACUUUAUAAUAUAUUAGGGGCAUUUUCAGAGUUCUGUCCUUUGGGUCACAGGCAUUGAACUAGCCCUAAAAAAAAAAACCUUUUUCAAGUCCCAUUUCUUGGUGGGGAUGGGAAAGAUAUAGGGGAUGAGAAAACACGUAUGGACUGGGAGAGUCAUGCUUUGGAAUAGGUAUGUUUAUUUAAGUAUUUAGUCAUGCCAUAAAUGGGAAUAGGACAGAUUAUUAAGAGGUGAGUUCUGAGAUGACACGAACUGCUUUGGAAUCUAGAGGAGAUGGGCAGAAGCAAAGUGAUGAUCGAGCUUUGUCUCUUUUGCCCAAAUUUUGCUUUCAGCCACCUCUGCUGUGUCCCUACUGUGAACCUGAAGUUGGGACUUUUCUUCUCUGACUUUGAAGAUGUCAAGUCAUGAUUCAGUUAAAAUAUAUUUUCAAGCCAUAAAAGCAGGCUGUUGCCUGUGCGGGGACUGACAUCAUCACAGUAUGCAGGGAUCAGUGGUAACGGACCAUUACCAAGAUGCGUCGUGUUCUCCCCGUUCAUAGAGACAGCUUCUGAGAAGACUUAAUUCCGCCUUCAUUUCCCUCCUCUAGCUGUGAGAACCCCAUGGCAAUCAGUGAAUUCACCACCCAGCCCUGUUUGCUAGCACCUUGCAGUUCACAGAGAACUUUUCUGAUUCAUGAUCUCAUUUUGACAAAAUAGAAUGUCCCUCUUGAAGCACUGGUUUCUUUAUCACAUAGUUUUCCUUCUGCUCCUCCCACUAACUCUUUGAUAUAUGGAUGCUGAGAAUUCGCCUCACCUCUCCACUGUCACAACGUUUCCCAGUGAUGGCAAGCCCGUUUGUGGCCUGAUUUGCUAAGGCAGCAUUGCAAGUCAUCUAAUGGAGGGUUCAGAUGAGUGUGUGAAUGAGACCUCCGAUGGCCUUGGAGCCUGGAGGGGCAUCCCAGCCCUGCCAUUAGCACUCCUGAUGCAUCAUCCAGUGACAGCAAGGGUGACCCUGGGACAGAACAAUGGGAAUUAGGUAAUGGUUUCUUGGCCUUGGCCCAAAGUUGCCAUUCAGAAACAAUUAAACCACCCUAGAGUGGAAAGAAUGUCUUUUAAAAAGAUCUCUACACAUUUUAUGAAUGUGCUUUGUGAGAGAACAGAGAUCACUGUACCUGGCACAAAGGUUGUUGAUAAAGAAGGGGAUUUACUAUUUACUGGGUGGUGAAAAACAGAGGCAUUUCUCCUUUCCUCUUCUCCCUCACCCAGCACAAUCUCCUAGCCCUUGUGGCUGAGACAAAACAAACCCAGGGAAGCAAAAAGAAUGUUCCAAGAAUCAACACUGUCAACAUCCUUGCUAAUCUGUAUAGGACUCCUGAGGAUCCAGCUUUGGACUGGGACCUUGAAGAAAGAACGAAACUUUUUUCAGAGGUACAUUCAUUCCACUGAUUCCAUUUGCUGCUGAGGAAAUCAGUGCUGCGGUGGCUGAAGCCCCACUGCUUCUCCUUCCUGCUCUCUGCCGGCAUGCAGCCUGCCUUGGGGGAUCCAGGCACUGUGCUGGGCACAGGGCAGGGGGAGAGAACACUGGCAAGGCACAGGCUGAGGUGAGGGCGCUGGGAAGUUGGUGGCAUCUGCAGUCUUUCAGGGCCUCUCCCUAACGGGAAUGCUGUGUCUCUUUGUUCUGUUUCUUUAGUAUUAUCUGGUAAAAAGGGUAAAAACCUAUAGCUGUUUCUUUAACAGACAUUCUAGGAUUUCAUGGCAUCAAUUCUACUAAAUUCAAGCUCAGACCCGAAAUUCCUCUUGCCUUCAUUUAAGGAAGAGUCCUUAGACACCCCCCUGUCCCCUGACCGUAGACCACUGUGAUGGUGGUCUAAAAAGCACCUCUGUAUUCGUUGUAAGAAUGAUUGUAAUGAAGGUGUGUGCCGUAAAUACAAGAAAUUCUCAAUAAAAUGUUUUUCACAUCAGACUGGUUUUUUGAAGGUGAGGUCAAAGCCUUACUGUUGGUAGAGCACUUUGAAGCUAUGGUGAUGGGAAACCAAUCAGAACAGAUAAAGAGUUCAACCAAUAGCUAAUAAAUAAUAUUUGCAUAAUGGUCUCAGGAUCUGUCUCCAAAGGAACAUACACUGAUGUGCUUAAUCACUUUACUGAAGAUGAAGGCCUAUGAUGUGUGCAGCCAGGGGCUGCCCAACUUGCUGGUUAGUGGAGCUAGAAAGUCUGAAGUCAUCAUGGAACACUUUGAUGAAUAACUUCGAACAGAUGCAAGAGAGAGAGGGAGGCAUUCUUAAUCAAAGUCAGGUGAAAACAGGGACCAGGUCUUAAAUCUCUUUCUACUCCUAAAAGUAUGGCACCUAGUAUCUGGAGUAUAUGUUGCCUGACUGUUAUUAAAUGCCAUCUUUUGCCUUCUUUUUUUUUUUUUUACCAAAACAUGCUACCACUCUCCAUAUAAUCUUUUUGUCUCAAUUCAGAUUUCACAUUCUGAUUUGCUAAAUGAGAGGCAGCCCUGUAAAGGUUACAAAUAAACACCUUCAUUAUUUGAGUUAUUUAGAAAAACUUCCAAUUUUCACUGUGCU